Molecule: long non-coding RNA, 3525 nt
Filed under: Gossypium barbadense (sea-island cotton)
Lineage: Eukaryota; Viridiplantae; Streptophyta; Magnoliopsida; Malvales; Malvaceae
Description: long non-coding RNA (GBAR_LNC008319)
Source: RNAcentral
UCAAUUCCUUGCUACCCUUAACUACGCCCUACUCCUUGUCCAUUCAUCUUCAAUCUAGCGAUUCUCUCCAUCUUCCCUCUGAGUCUGCAACUCUCUGAACGUCGUCUUCCCUCCCAGGUAUGAGCCCUCCCUUCUCUCCAACGCUUCUUUUGCUAGAUUAUGGGCUUGAAUGUUCUUCGUUCUAUGGAUAAACUUGAAAGUAAAGUCUUGAACCCUGGAUUUUCUGGUCUGUAUGUCAUAAAUAAUCGCCCCAAGAACCGACUUAUCCAUUUCUUUCGAUUGACAUUUUUGAAUGACUGUUCUCGAGUCCCCCUCUAUUGUUACUGUUGUUAACCCCAUUUCUAUUACUAACUUAAUGGUAUCUAAUCCUGCGAGGGCUUCUGCUGCAAACGGGGUGGGGGUAUCCUCAUGUGUAACUGACUUUGAGGCUUUUAAAGCUCCCGUUUGGUCUCAAACGACUAUACCUGAGGCAGAUCUAGCAUUUCUUUUGUCAAAAGCGGCAUCAAACUGAACUGUGGUACCCUCCGUCGCCCCAGUAUAACUGUUGUCCCUUUUGGAAGAAGACGUAAAUGUUUUCAUUCGGAUCCCCUCCAGUUCUGCUAUGUAACUACUAACUUUCCUUGCUAAAUCCCUAACUGGUAUGAUUUUCUUUUCAUGUACAAGCUAAUUUCGAGAACUCCAAACACACCAUAGCACACAACAAAAGGAUCGACAUUGCUUGUGACACCCCUAAUCUGACCCUAGUCGAAAAGUGAUUUCGGGACCACGAAAUCGAGUUUUAUAAAUAAUUGAAAGUUAUAUUCUAUGUUCAUGAGGUGAGUAAAUGCAUGUGUAAAAAUUUCAAGCAUUAAUUUUGCCAUUUGUAUGUGAAAUUUUGAAACGGGACUUAUGUGAAACAUUGGUAAAAUAGGAUGGUAAAAAUAUAAAGUGAUCUAAUAGAGCAUGUAUUAAAAAAUGUGGACUUGCAUUUCAAUUAGACCAUUUUUGAAUGUAAAUGGCCGGCCAACACAUGCAUGUAACAAUGUGUUCUCUUGUCUCCAUUUUUAAUUAGUGGGAAUUAUGUAUAAUAAUAAAUUUAUAUUAGUGGUGGUGAUAAAAAUAAAGUCCCAUCAUCUUUUUUUCAUCUUGCCGAAACCAUAAGGAAAGGAAAAAGAAAAAUGGAAGGAAGAACACCUAAGGCAUUCGGCCAUCUUGUGUUGGGAAUUAAGGUAUGAUUUCAUAUGUUUUUCUUUGGAUUUUGAGAAAUUUAAAUUGGUUUUAAAGCUCCUAAAAUGACCCAUGUAUGUGAUUUUGUGUUUGUGAUGCAUGAAGCAUUCGAUCAUGAGCUCAAUGGGUUACAUUGUGUAUGUUUUGCUAAUUUGUGAGGAGAAAUGUUUCUAAUUGAGUAUAAACAAACUAAAUUACUAUAUAUGGCUCAAAUGAGCUUGAGUAGUCGGCUAACGAAGUUAGUUGAGUUAUAAUACUUGCUUAAUAAUGAAAAUAACAUGAGCUUAAUGCUCAAAUAGCAUUCGGCUUUGGACUAAGUUAAAUUAGUUAGGAAAUGAGUUCCAAGAUAGUGAAUUAUGUGUUAAAAGAGGGAUUUAGGUUGUAUAUACGUGUUUAGAUUGAAAACAAGAGGCUAUGUUAGCUAAUUGAGGGAUUCGGCCAUAGUAUUAUAGUGAAUAAUAAUUUGAACAAGGGUUUUAAUUGUAUGAUAGGUUUUCGGAUAUGGUUGAUUGGAUAAUAAAUUGGUGUGGGUGUUUUGAAUGAGAUAUGUAUAAUUAUAAGUUAAAUUUAAGGUUUGUUAAAUUUGUCCUUAUCAUUGCCGAAUGAGUUCAAUGGCUAAAGAAAAUUGUUAAGUGCUUAGUUAAUGUGCAUUCGGUCAUUUAGGAUGAGUAUACAUUUGAUAAUGUUUUGAUACUUUGAAAUGGAAUUUAAUUAUUAAUGAGUUAUAAGCUUGUUGAAUUUUGAGAUGUAAUUGGGAGUAAAUUUGAUAUGAGCAUAUUUUGUUAAUGACAUAUUGAUAAAUGUUGAGUUACGAUACCAUGAUAUUAAGCUUAAAGGCAUUCGAUCAUGAGAUGGAUUAAGGUGAACUAAAUGAUAUUUGGCAAUGGUACUUUUUACAUGAGAAAUUCGGUGUUAAUUGUAUUAAAUAAGGUUUUUGUUUCUUGUUAAAUUGGAUGUAUCUUGUUGUAUGAGUGCUUGAACAAACUAUGAUUAAAUAGAUGCAUAGAUUCAAGGCGGCAAGAAUUGGCUAUUAUGCUUGAUACUAAUGCCGAAUAUGAGAAUGUUGUACUUGAAAAAUGUAGGUGAACAUGACAAGUGUAUUCGGCUUAGGACAUAAAGGAUAUGAAAAUUUGGUAUUUAUUUUUGAUUGUGUGUGUAUGACCAUGGAUAAUUGGCUGCACAAAUAUUAUAAAUACAUAAAUUUAUUAAGCUACAAAACAUUAUACAUGAUCGGCCAAAGUAAAUUAUUUGAGUAAAGUAUAUCUUGAUGGUACAUUUCAGCUAGUAUAAAAUGUAUAUGGAUGUCGUAUGACUAUGUUUAAUUUGGGAAGUAAAUUGUUUGAUUUAGCUCAAGGGCCUAGAGGAUCAAAGUUGGAUAAGGGAAAGGAAAAAGUGAUCGAAUAGCCGUCGUAAUCGUUUGGUAUCUUUCGAGGUAAGUUUUAAGUGAUUAAACGUUGAGUAAAUUCAAUCAUAAUAGGACAUAAUGAGUUGAUUUAAUAAGAUAUGAUGUGGCCAUGAUAUGUCUUAAACUCAAAUGGUAAGUUCAUAAGUGUUUGGACUUGGAAAUUUAAGAGCAAAUUGUAAUAAUUUGCUUAGGACAGCAGCAGUAAUGUGAUUUUAUAAAAUCACUAUAAAUUGUUGGUGUGGAAUUAUAGGCUGAAUAAAAUAUGUAUUCAAAGCUUAAUUAGUCUAGUUUCUUAUAAAAGAGACCGUGUAAGCAAAGAAAUUUCCUAUAAAGUGAUAUUGGAAGUUGUGCUAGACAGUGUCAGAAUGACUCUGAAAUCCCUUAUUCUGUUUUUAGAAAAUCUUUAUAAUUUGUACAAAAAUGGUUAUAAGAUAAAAUGUAUAUGCUUAGACUCCUUAAUGAGUCUAGUUUCAAAUGAAAUCAAAUAGAACAUAUUUUGAAUUCUGUACAAUGAGAAAUUUGAUUCGUAGUGAAGAGUGGUCAGAUUAGUCAAACAGUGAAACAGGGGAAAUUUUAAGAAAAAUUUGGUAUUGAUUGGCCAAACUUAAAAUUCUGAAAAUUUUAUGGAUGGAAGAUAUAUGAGUCUAUAUUCAGGGAAAAUUAAUGGCAAUUGAUUUUCAGUUUUGUAGCUCCAGUUAUAAAUAAUUUAGUUACUAUUGCUCAGGAAAACAGCUUGUAGUGAACAUGUGAAUUUGUUGUAAACAUUGAUUAAACUAUUUGAGUUGCUUAUAAGCUAUUGCUGAAAUUGAUGUACAAGAUAAAUAUAUAUGUAUAUGUGGUAAAGCCGAAUGGCUAAUGUGAAAUAUGUAUGAGAUAUGUAUAUGUAGUAAAGCCGAAUGGCUAAUGUGAAAUAC